CAGCCGCCACGGGAAUACGUAGGUGGCAAGCGUUGUCCGGAAUUAUUGGGCGUAAAGGGCUCGCAGGCGGUUUCUUAAGUCUGAUGUGAAAGCCCCCGGCUCAACCGGGGAUGGUCAUUGGAAACUGGGAAACUUGAGUGCAGAAGAGGAGAGUGGAAUUCCACGUGUAGCGGUGAAAUGCGUAGAGAUGUGGAGGAACACCAGUGGCGAAGGCGACUCUCUGGUCUGUAACUGACGCUGAGGAGCGAAAGCGUGGGGAGCGAACAGGAUUAGAUACCCGCGUAGUCCCUGUCUCUUAUAA
Molecule: ribosomal RNA, 301 nt
Filed under: uncultured bacterium
Lineage: Bacteria
Description: partial 16S ribosomal RNA
Rfam family: Bacterial small subunit ribosomal RNA
Source: RNAcentral